RNAcentral lists this ribosomal RNA (403 nucleotides) under uncultured archaeon. Its description in RNAcentral is "bacterial SSU rRNA". It matches the Rfam family "Archaeal small subunit ribosomal RNA", at positions 429 to 832 of the family's 1478-position model. The record is from RNAcentral.
CUUGGAAUAAGGGGUGGGUAAGGACGGUGCCAGCCGCCGCGGUAAUACCGGCGCCUCAAGUGGUAGUCGCUUUUAUUGGGCCUAAAACGUCCGUAGCCGGUCUGAUACAUUCGUGGGUAAAUCAACCAGCUCAACUGGUUGAAUUCUGCGAGGACGGCCAGACUUGGGACCGGGAGAGGUGUGGGGUACGCUCAGGGUAGGGGUAAAAUCCUGUCAUCCUGAGCGGACCACCUGUUGCGAAGGCGCCACACUAGAACGGAUCCGACGGUCAGGGACGAAGCCUAGGGGCACGAACCGGAUUAGAUACCCGGGUAGUCCUAGGUGUAAACGCUGUGGACUUGAUGUUGGGGGUGCUCCGAGCACUCUCAGUGUGCAAGCGAAGGUGAUAAGUCCACUGCCUGGG